This 442-nucleotide ribosomal RNA is filed under the name uncultured bacterium. Its description in RNAcentral is "bacterial SSU rRNA". It matches the Rfam family "Bacterial small subunit ribosomal RNA", at positions 958 to 1398 of the family's 1533-position model. The record is from RNAcentral.
AACGCGAAGAACCUUACCUACCCUUGACAUGCUCGGAAUCUGCCAGAGAUGGUGGAGUGCCUUCGGGAGCCGAGACACAGGUGCUGCAUGGCUGUCGUCAGCUCGUGUCGUGAGAUGUUGGGUUAAGUCCCGUAACGAGCGCAACCCUUGUCCUUAGUUGCCAACAGGUUAUGCUGGGAACUCUAAGGAGACUGCCGGUGACAAGCCGGAGGAAGGUGGGGAUGACGUCAAGUCCUCAUGGCCCUUACGGGUAGGGCUACACACGUGUUACAAUGGGCAGUACAAAGGGAAGCGAAGCCGCGAGGUGUAGCAAAUCUUUUUAAAGCUGUUCGUAGUCCGGAUUGGAGUCUGCAACUCGACUCCAUGAAGUUGGAAUCGCUAGUAAUCGUGGAUCAGAACGCCACGGUGAAUACGUUCCCGGGCCUUGUACACACCGAGUAUA